Molecule: ribosomal RNA, 492 nt
Filed under: uncultured bacterium
Lineage: Bacteria
Description: partial 16S ribosomal RNA
Rfam family: Bacterial small subunit ribosomal RNA
Source: RNAcentral
AUUGAACGCUGGCGGCAUGCUUUACACAUGCAAGUCGAACGGUAACAGGCCUUCGGGUGCUGACGAGUGGCGCACGGGUGAGUAAUGCAUCGGAACGUGCCCAGAGGUGGGGGAUAACGCAGCGAAAGCUGUGCUAAUACCGCAUGUGAUCUGAGGAUGAAAGCGGGGGACCAAGCAGCAAUGUUUGGCCUCGCGCCUCUGGAGCGGCCGAUGUCAGAUUAGGUAGUUGGUGGGGUAAAGGCCUACCAAGCCGACGAUCUGUAGCUGGUCUGAGAGGACGACCAGCCACACUGGGACUGAGACACGGCCCAGACUCCUACGGGAGGCAGCAGUGGGGAAUUUUGGACAAUGGGCGCAAGCCUGAUCCAGCAAUGCCGCGUGCGGGAAGAAGGCCUUCGGGUUGUAAACCGCUUUUGUACGGAACGAAAAGGCUCUGGCUAAUACCUGGGGCUGAUGACGGUACCGUAAGAAUAAGCACCGGCUAACUACGUG